This is a long non-coding RNA of Oxyura jamaicensis (ruddy duck), 481 nucleotides long. RefSeq lists it as uncharacterized. The transcript is spliced from 2 exons. NCBI's taxonomy places the organism in Eukaryota, Metazoa, Chordata, Aves, Anseriformes, Anatidae. The record is from RefSeq and is a predicted model, not a curated record.
UGCUUGCAGCAUUGACUUGUAGAGGGCCCCAACGUAGCUGCUUCACCUACUCCCUAGAAAGACUUUCUUGUCUAUAUGUGAACCUGUGCUUUUUGGGCCAAAAGCAUGGAUACCAUUCUAGUUUUACUGAAUCUGUUCUUAGCAUGGCUAGAGGGAAAUUUGUCACAUAAUUUUCCAAAAUUAUGAUCAAAGAAAAUUCUUGAAACUUGAGACAUUCAUUGGGAAAUAUCCCAAAACAAGAAAAAAACAAAGGGUCAUAAGGACUUCAGGAUCUGACUCCUUGACAAGUCACAGGUAUGUGUUAAUGGCACCAAUAUUUGAACAGAAAUAGACAUUUGUCUUGGGCAAACAGGACAGAUUAGGCAGUAUUAUUUCUUAUCUAACAACAAGUGCUUUAUAAAUGUCACAUUUUCUACAAUAUCGUGUGGUGGGACUUAUGACACCAUUCCUUCAGUAUUUUUUAUUAUUAUUAUUAUUUUUU